AAAGCCUGACGGACAACGCCGCGUGGGUGAAGAAGGUCUUCGGAUCGUAAAGCCCUGUUGCCCGGGACGAACGCCCCCGGCGCGAACAGCGCCGGGGGGUGACGGUACCGGGCGAGGAAGCCACGGCCAACUACGUGCCAGCAGCCGCGGUAAUACGUAGGUGGCGGGCGUUGUCCGGAAUCAUUGGGCGUAAAGGGAGCGCAGGCGGGCAUGCAAGUCCAUCUUAAAAGCGCGGGGCCCAACCCCGCGAGGGGAUGGAAACUGCAUGCCUUGAGUGCAGGAGAGGAAAGCGGAAUUCCCAGUGUAGCGGUGAAAUGCGUAGAUAUUGGGAGGAACACCAGUGGCGAAGGCGGCUUUCUGGACUGCAACUGACGCUGAGGCUCGAAAGCCAGGGGAGCGAACGGGAUUAGAUACCCCGGUAGUCCUGGCCGUAAACGAUGAAUGCUAGGUGUGGGGGGUAUCGACCCCUCCCGUGCCGGAGUCAACGCAAUAAGCAUUCCGCCUGGAGAGUACGGCCGCAAGGCUGAAACUCAAAGGAAUUGACGGGGGCCCGCACAAGCGGUGGAGUAUGUGGUUCA
RNAcentral lists this ribosomal RNA (578 nucleotides) under Veillonellaceae bacterium oral taxon 131. RNAcentral's name for it is "bacterial SSU rRNA". It matches the Rfam family "Bacterial small subunit ribosomal RNA", at positions 378 to 948 of the family's 1533-position model. Lineage: Bacteria; Bacillati; Bacillota; Negativicutes; Veillonellales; Veillonellaceae. The record is from RNAcentral.